AAAAAAAAAAAAAAAAAGAAAGAAAAAGAAAAGAGAAAGGAAAAAAGACUUCAUCAAAAAUCCUCUCUCAGUGCCUGUCAUUGUAGAGUUGAGAGUGAUCCCACAUUCGCCGGGUUUCCGCACCUGAGUUCCCAGGCCAGGGGUCGAGCCCUUACCACAGCAGUGACAACACUGGAUUCCUGUAAGCACUAGGCCACCAGGGCACUCCUGGCACUGUCAUUCUUCAGAUCCCCAGUCGUCCGUUCCGUUCCGUUUCCCCGCCUGUCUCAUUUUUUAAAAAAUAGUUGGUUUUGUUUGAUUCGGGCUCCGAACAAGAUCCGUAUGUUUCAUUUAGUUCAUGAUUAGUCUCAGCGUCUCUGUUAAUAAAGAUUAUCCUCAUUCCUAAAGGAAUUAUAUGUUGCAGUUCUGCCCUGUAGAGUGACGUCGCUGCCCCCCCCAUCUCCUGACAGCUGCUGUCAAGCUUUCCUGAGUUUUGUGGAACCGUGUUGUGAUUUUCGAGGCUUCUGCAUUAUUUCUGUUGUCUUUGUGGUUUAAUGUAACCCGUCAUGUUUUUCCUUCCUUCGAUACGUCUUUCUUGAGAGCCUCCUCUGUGCCAGGCGCUGUACCAGGCCCUGGGCAUCCGGCUGCGAACAGACAGGCUCUCGAGGAGCAUACAGUCUGCGCCCUGCGAGGGUUGUGGGUCUGCUCACUGUCCCCCAGCCCGUGUGCAUCCCAGCCAAGUUGAUGACCACGACGCCCGUCCCUUCUGUGCUCACCCAUCGGCCACGCCAAGGGCUUCGUCUUCAUGUUCUCAUGCUGUCCUUUUAUGUGGUUGAUAAGUGGUGUCCCCAGUACUGAUGAAGAGCCCCGGGUGGGCCUUCUAUGGAAGGCCCCUGUUUCAGAGCCCCGCCCUGGGAUUCCAGCAGUGUCACCAAGGGACUGUGUGUGUGUCCAUUCGAAGCUCUUGGGCUUGAGCCUUUGUAGCUAAGCAGGGUACAGUGGAACUCCUGCUUAACUGGCGGAUUGUCCAGAGGCUGACCAAAAACAUCUGGAAGGUGCCCGGAGCUGUUCAGGGGCUCGGCGCCUGCCAAGCCCUGCUAGUGUGUUCUUUGAGCAGGUGGAUUUGCGGUGGGUUGGGGCUUUUGCUGUAAUGAUUAGGCUACCUGCCUAAAGAAGCCUGCUUUCUCAACCUGCUUUUCUUUGCUGGGCAGGAUGGUGUUCGGGGUGACCGUGCUGCCUCUGGCAGAAUCUAGUGGUACAGUUCAGGCUUGUCUUGCUAAUAAGACUCUCACUGAUUUGCAUUUCUCUGAAUAAAUCAUAAGAUUUAUGUUUGGCCACUGUGACGUUUGGGUUUGAGAAUGGUCCAUGAUUCUUGUAUUUUUCCAGUUCAAAUGUAGCUCUCGUGCAGUUUUUGGUGGAUUAUAGCAUUUGAGCCUUUCAAAAAAAAAAAAAUCUCAGUUAGGAGUUCCUGCUGUGGCACAGCGGGUUAAUGAUUGGCUUGUCUCUGUGGAGGUGCAGGUUCGAUGCCCAACCCGGCACAGUGGGUUAAGGAUCUGGCAUUGCUACAGCUGUAGGUCGAAGCUCUGGCUUGGAUUUGAUCCCUGGCCCGGGAACUCCCAUAUACUGUGGGGGCAGCUGAAAAAGGAAAAAAAAAAAUCCUGGUUAAUAAAAAUGAAUAUAUUUUCAGACACAAAGAUUAAUAUUCUUUCAGCUUUCCUAGAUUUUUUCUUGUAUACUUGAGAUAAUACAGAAUACAUGAAUAUACAAUGACACAGGAUCUUCUUUCACUGAAGGCUGCGUAGUUUAGAGUUUGGUGAUAUUUUGUUUAUUUUUUAUUAAGUAAUCUUUAAUGGUUUUGAUUGUGCACUGACACUGGUUAAAACUUUUGAGCAAAUUUCCUUGCCUGUGUAUAUUUAUAUACUGCAUCGCUGUACUGUUACCUUAUAUACAUUAUAAAACCCCAAAGGAAAAGUUAAAGAGGGCUGGGCAUGUUGCGUUUUUGGAUGAACUACUCUCGGUCCCGCUGGAGCAGAGAGCCUCUUCUUUGCGCUGCGUGUCGGCCCCGCGACGUAUUCGGGCUGUUGCCCUCGCACCGCCCUCUCUCUCUCUUUCUAUGGAUCAUGUCCACGUGCUGCUGUUCUUCUCAUCUUAAGAAAAGCCUUCUUUGGAGUUCCCUUUAUGGCUCCGUGGUAAUGAGCCCAAUGACGACGAGGAUCCAUGAGGAUGUGGGUUCGAUCCCUGGCCUCGCUCAGUGGGUUAAGGAUCCGGCGUUGCCGUGAGCUGUGGUGUAGGUGGCAGAUGCGGCUUGGAUCCCACGUUGCUGUGGCUGUGGUGUAGGCCGGCGGCUAUAGCUCCAGUUAGGCCCCUAGCCUGGGAACCUCCAUAUGCCGCAGGUGCAGCCCUAAAAGGUCAAAGAAAAGAAAAGCUACUGCCCAUGUCUCUGCCCCAGUGCAUUUCCGGUCCUUGCUCCCUUCACUUCCUCUUUCAGGUGCCUCCAUGCAGCUUGUUUCCAGCCACUCCAGAUGAAAGUGCUCUCGACAAGGGCAGCAGUGACUUCCUUGCGACUCAAUCUUGUGGCCUCUUCUGGGUCCCCAUCAUAGCAGCUUCACAGUAUUUGGCACAGCAGGUUAUGCCCAUUUCCUUGAAGUGCUGCCUUCUCUGGGUGUGUAUUUCUGGUCCCCCCCCGCCCCCGCCCCGUCUCGUGGCCUCUCCCUUCUCAUUGUCUCAUCUCUCUGACGUCUGAAGUUGGACGGCCUCUGCAUCUUCUCUUUCUCUUUGCAAUCCUCUCCAUGCUCCUGGCUUAAAUGCCAUCCCUGUGGAUGCGUCUAGAAGUUGCUUCAGGAGUUCCCGUCGUGGGUCAGUGGUUAACGAAUCCAACUAGGAACCAUGAGGUUUCGGGUUCGAUCCCUGGCCUCACUCAGUGGGUUAAGGAUCCGGUGUUGCCGUGAGCUGUGGUGUAGGUCGCAGACAUGGCUCAGAUCCCGCAUUGCUAUGGCUCUGGAGUAGGCCGGCGGCUACAGCUCUGAUUAGACCCUUAGCCUGGGAACCUCCAUAUGCCGAGGGGGGAACCUUAGAAAAGGCAAAUAGUCAAAAAAAAAAAAAAAAAAAAAGUAGAAUUUGCUUCAGAGUAAUCCCAAGAGAUAAACAUUGACCAUGAGUUGAUAAUGGUUGAAGCUGGGUGUUGGGUACCCGGGGGUGGGGUAUUGUACUAUUUUCUCUAGUUUUGUGUAUGUUUGAAAUUUUCCAUAAUG
This 3230-nucleotide long non-coding RNA is filed under the name Sus scrofa (pig). RNAcentral's name for it is "lncRNA (ENSSSCG00040013475.1)". Lineage: Eukaryota; Metazoa; Chordata; Mammalia; Artiodactyla; Suidae. The record is from RNAcentral.